Molecule: ribosomal RNA, 527 nt
Filed under: uncultured bacterium
Lineage: Bacteria
Description: bacterial SSU rRNA
Rfam family: Bacterial small subunit ribosomal RNA
Source: RNAcentral
ACAUCCAGAGAAUUUAGCAGAGAUGCUUUAGUGCCUUCGGGAACUCUGAGACAGGUGCUGCAUGGCUGUCGUCAGCUCGUGUUGUGAAAUGGUUGGGUUAAGUCCCGCAACGAGCGCAACCCUUAUCCUUUGUUGCCAGCACGUAAUGGUGGGAACUCAAAGGAGACUGCCGGUGAUAAACCGGAGGAAGGUGGGGAUGACGUCAAGUCAUCAUGGCCCUUACGAGUAGGGCUACACACGUGCUACAAUGGCGCAUACAAAGAGAAGCGACCUCGCGAGAGCAAGCGGACCUCAUAAAGUGCGUCGUAGUCCGGAUUGGAGUCUGCAACUCGACUCCAUGAAGUCGGAAUCGCUAGUAAUCGUAAAUCAGAAUGUUACGGUGAAUACGUUCCCGGGCCUUGUACACACCGCCCGUCACACCAUGGGAGUGGGUUGCAAAAGAAGUAGAUAGCUUAACCUUCGGGAGGGCGUUUACCACUUUGUGAUUCAUGACUGGGGUGAAGUCGUAACAAGGUAAGCGUAGUGCU